AAGUUAUUGCAGUUAAAAAGCUCAUAGUUGAACCUUGGGAUGGGUCACCUGUUUCACCUUCGGUGAGCACAGUCGGCUUGUCUCUUCUGUCGGCGAUAUGCUCCUGGCCUUAACUGGCCGGGGCGUGCCUCCGGUGCUGUUACUUUGAAGAAAUUAGAGUGCUCAAACCAAGCCUACGCUCUUUAUACAUUAGCAUGGGAUAACAUCAUAGGAUUUUGAUCCUAUUGUGUUGGCCUUCGGGAUCAGAGUAAUGAUUAACAGGGACAGUCGGUGUGAUAACCCACCUUUCGGGAUAAGAAUGGUCGAGACAGAAGAUUGGUCGAACAUCAACUUGGUGGUCGAAUCGCGGGCGACAAAGAUUGAUCGG
Molecule: non-coding RNA, 367 nt
Organism: Brassica rapa (field mustard)
Lineage: Eukaryota; Viridiplantae; Streptophyta; Magnoliopsida; Brassicales; Brassicaceae
Source: Rfam